RNAcentral lists this signal recognition particle RNA (99 nucleotides) under Acidiferrobacteraceae bacterium. RNAcentral describes it as "signal recognition particle sRNA small type". It matches the Rfam family "Bacterial small signal recognition particle RNA". From Rfam's summary of the family: The signal recognition particle (SRP) is a universally conserved ribonucleoprotein involved in the co-translational targeting of proteins to membranes. Archaeal SRP consists of a 7S RNA and homologues of the eukaryotic SRP19 and SRP54 proteins. In most bacteria, the SRP consists of a 4.5S RNA and the Ffh protein (a homologue of the eukaryotic SRP54 protein). Lineage: Bacteria; Pseudomonadati; Pseudomonadota; Gammaproteobacteria; Acidiferrobacterales; Acidiferrobacteraceae. The record is from RNAcentral.
UGUUGGGCCUCGCGCAAUGCGGGUUUGUGAACCCCGUCAGGUCCGGAAGGAAGCAGCGGUGACAACACUUUGCGUGUGCUGCGGGACUACCCAGCAAUU